GGAUAACAUUUAUGAAACAAAUAAAAGAGAAGGUGCAGGUCGUGUCGUAUUGGGAGGUGAAGGUUUUGGCGGGAAGAAGAGAGGAAUGGCGA
Long non-coding RNA from Pectinophora gossypiella (pink bollworm), 92 nucleotides. RefSeq lists it as uncharacterized. The record is from RefSeq and is a predicted model, not a curated record. NCBI's taxonomy places the organism in Eukaryota, Metazoa, Arthropoda, Insecta, Lepidoptera, Gelechiidae. The transcript is spliced from 2 exons.